GACUAGUUUUAUUAUUAACAAAUUAAAAAGAAAAAGCUAUCAUUUUUCUCUUCUCCUCCACCGAAAAUGGCAGAAAAGAAAGGGGUUUUGAAGCUCUGAAAUAUCAGCCACUUACAUCCCUUGCUAGGUUGCCAGGUUAGCUCGGGUUGGAGUUCAUCGGAGAUAUUAUCUCACUGUCAAGCUAACGUUAUUGGUGUAGUGAUUUCAAGUACUUUGAGCCUAUAGCAUGUAUAGGAGUUUAAAUAUUAGAGUAUGUGAUAUGGCUUUAGCCAUAUGUGUUAGCCUAUUUUGAUUAUGGGGUUGUAAAUCCAUUUUAAUUAUGCAUGCAUGUGCUAUGGUAUUAUGUGAUGAGUUUAUAAUGAUUAUAGCAUGAAUGUGGUAAAGAUGUGAGUAAAAUCUAUGUUAUCUAUUGCAUGUGAAAUUGCCAUAAUCAUGACAUGUUAGGAA
Molecule: long non-coding RNA, 447 nt
Organism: Gossypium arboreum
Lineage: Eukaryota; Viridiplantae; Streptophyta; Magnoliopsida; Malvales; Malvaceae
Exons: 2
Source: RefSeq, a predicted model, not a curated record